RNAcentral lists this ribosomal RNA (506 nucleotides) under uncultured bacterium. RNAcentral's name for it is "bacterial SSU rRNA". It matches the Rfam family "Bacterial small subunit ribosomal RNA", at positions 120 to 660 of the family's 1533-position model. The record is from RNAcentral.
GGGAAUCUGCCCUUGGGUUCGGAAUAACUCAGAGAAAUUUGAGCUAAUACCGGAUGAUGACGAAAGUCCAAAGAUUUAUCGCCCAGGGAUGAGCCCGCGUAAGAUUAGCUUGUUGGUGGGGUAAUGGCCUACCAAGGCGACGAUCUUUAGCUGGUCUGAGAGGAUGAUCAGCCACACUGGGACUGAGACACGGCCCAGACUCCUACGGGAGGCAGCAGUGGGGAAUAUUGGACAAUGGGCGCAAGCCUGAUCCAGCAAUGCCGCGUGAGUGAUGAAGGCCUUAGGGUUGUAAAGCUCUUUUACCAGGGAUGAUAAUGACAGUACCUGGAGAAUAAGCUCCGGCUAACUCCGUGCCAGCAGCCGCGGUAAUACGGAGGGAGCUAGCGUUGUUCGGAAUCACUGGGCGUAAAGCGUGCGUAGGCGGUGACUCAAGUCAGAGGUGAAAGCCUGGAGCUCAACUCCAGAACUGCCUUUGAAACUAGGUCGCUAGAACAUCGGAGAGGUGA